AGGUAGCGAAAUUCCUUGUCAGGUAAGUUCUGACCCGCACGAAUGGCGUAAUGAUUUGGGCACUGUCUCAACAGCCCGCCCGGCGAAAUUGUAGUACUGGUGAAGAUGCCAGUUACCCGCAACUAGACGGAAAGACCCCAUGGAGCUUUACUGCAGCUUAAUACUGAAAUUCGGUAGUACAUGUACAGGAUAGGUGGGAGACUGAGAAAUACAGGCGUCAGCUUGUAUGGAGUCGCUGUUGGGAUACCACUCUUGUACUGCUGGGUUUCUAACCUGCGGCCGUGAAUCCGGUCGGGGGACACUGUUAGGCGGGCAGUUUGACUGGGGCGGUCGCCUCCAAAAGAGUAACGGAGGCGCUCAAAGGUUCGCUCAGCAUGGACGGAAACCAUGCCAUAGAGUGUAAACGCAAAAGCGAGCCUAACUGCGAGACUGACGGGUCGAGCAGUAACGAAAGUUGGAGUUAGUGAUCCGGUGGUAUGUGAGUGGAAAUGCCAUCGCUCAACGGAUAAAAGCUACCCUGGGGAUAACAGGCUGAUCUCCCCCAAGCGUCCACAGCGACGGGGAGGUUUGGCACCUCGAUGUCGGCUCGUCGCAUCCUGGGGCUGAAUUCGGUCCCAAGGGUUUGGCUGUUCGCCAAUUAAAGCGGCACGCGAGCUGGGUUCAGAACGUCGUGAGACAGUUCGGUCCCUAUCUGUUGCGGGCGUAAGAGAUUUGAAGGGAGCUGUCCUUAGUACGAGAGGACCGGGAUGGACGUACCUCUGGUGCACCAGUUGUCCUGCCAAGGGCAUAGCUGGGUAGCUAUGUACGGACGAGAUAAACGCUGAAAGCAUCUAAGCGUGAAACUCCCCCUAAGAUGAGAUCUCUCAUCCUUUAAGGAGUAAGGACCCAGAAAGACGAUCUGGUUGAUAGGCCGAAGGUGGAAGCGCAGUAAUGUGUGCAGCUGAUCGGUACUAAUAGUCCGAGGGCUUGACCUA
This 974-nucleotide ribosomal RNA is filed under the name human gut metagenome. RNAcentral describes it as "bacterial LSU rRNA". It matches the Rfam family "Bacterial large subunit ribosomal RNA", at positions 1954 to 2925 of the family's 2925-position model. The record is from RNAcentral.